AUUAUGCUAAUUGUGAACGAGCGCCCUAUUUACGAAUGAUUGGAUUUCAUUAACAUGCACAUUUAAUUCAAAUCUUGG
Molecule: long non-coding RNA, 78 nt
Organism: Sinocyclocheilus grahami
Lineage: Eukaryota; Metazoa; Chordata; Actinopteri; Cypriniformes; Cyprinidae
Exons: 3
Source: RefSeq, a predicted model, not a curated record